AUGCAAGUCGAACGGGACUUUUCCGAGUAGCAAUACCUGGGAAAGUUUAGUGGCGAACGGGUGCGUAACACGUGGGGAAUCUGCCGAGAAGUGGGGGAUAGCUCGUCGAAAGGCGAAUUAAUACCGCAUAUGAUCAGGGAAGACAUCUUUCCAACAUCAAAGCCGGGGCAACCUGGCGCUUCUUGAUGACCCCGCGGCCUAUCAGCUAGUUGGUGAGGUAACGGCCCACCAAGGCUUUGACGGGUAGCUGGUCUGAGAGGACGACCAGUCACACUGGAACUGAGACACGGUCCAGACACCUACGGGUGGCAGCAGUCGAGAAUUUUUCUCAAUGGGGGCAACCCUGAAGGAGCGACGCCGCGUGGAGGAUGAAGGCUUUCGGGUUGUAAACUCCUGUCAUUUGAGAACAAGUGCCAACAAGUAACUACUGUUGGCUUGAUAGUAUCAGAAGAGGAAGGGACGGCUAACUCUGUGCCAGCAGCCGCGGUAAUACAGAGGUCCCAAGCGUUGUUCGGAUUCAUUGGGCGUAAAGGGUGCGUAGGUGGCGUGGUAAGUCGGGUGUGAAAUUUCGGAGCUUAACUCCGAAACUGCAUUCGAUACUGCCGUGCUUGAGGACUGGAGAGGAGACUGGAAUUUACGGUGUAGCAGUGAAAUGCGUAGAGAUCGUAAGGAAGACCAGUGGCGAAGGCGGGUCUCUGGACAGUUCCUGACACUGAGGCACGAAGGCUAGGGGAGCAAACGGGAUUAGAUACCCCGGUAGUCCUAGCAGUAAACGGUGCACGUUUGGUGUGGGAGGAUUCGACCCCUUCCGCGCCGGAGCUAACGCGUUAAACGUGCCGCCUGGGGAGUACGGUCGCAAGAUUAAAACUCAAAGAAAUUGACGGGGGCCCGCACAAGCGGUGGAGUAUGUGGCUUAAUUCGAUGCAACGCGAAGAACCUUACCUGGCCUUGACAUGCAUCUCUAACCCGGUGAAAGCCGGCGAGUGUCGAAAGACACAAUUUGCACAGGUGCUGCAUGGCUGUCG
Molecule: ribosomal RNA, 1025 nt
Filed under: uncultured bacterium
Lineage: Bacteria
Description: bacterial SSU rRNA
Rfam family: Bacterial small subunit ribosomal RNA
Source: RNAcentral